CACACAUCCACACGGGACAGAUUCACAAGACAGGGUAAAACCAGUUCCAGCAUGAUUCAGAAGGUUUGCUUUAAAAGACAGAGUUGGAUUCCGAGCAGACAGAAUUGUGGGAAUCGGAGUUUCUCUGUUGAAAGAGUGAGGUGUAGUUCGUCCAUUUCUGAACAGAUCCAUCCUGCUUCUCUUGAUGUCGUCCCAGAAUCCCAGUGUUCUCUGGCGAUUAGUCCCUCAGUCCUGUCUGGCGAUUAGUCCCUCAGUCCUGUCUGGCAAUUAGUCCCUCAGUCCUGUCUGGCGAUUAGUCCCUCAGUCCUGUCUGGCGAUUAUCCCCCCAGUCCUGUCUGGUGAUUGUAGUCCUCCCCAGUCCUGUCUGGUGAUUGUAGUCCUCCCCAGUCCUGUCUGGUGAUUGUAGUCCUCCCCAGUCCUGUCUGGUGAUUGUAGUCCCCCCAGUCCUGUCUGGUGAUUGUAGUCCCAGUCCUGUCUGGUGAUUGCAGUCACCCCAGUCCUGUCUGGUGAUUGCAGUCCCCCCAGUCCUGUCUGGUGAUUGUAGUCCCCCCAGUCCUGUCUGGUGAUUGUAGUCCCAGUCCUGUCUGGUGAUUGCAGUCACCCCAGUCCUG
This 611-nucleotide long non-coding RNA is filed under the name Salmo salar (Atlantic salmon). Its description in RNAcentral is "lncRNA (ENSSSAG00000101275.1)". The record is from RNAcentral. Lineage: Eukaryota; Metazoa; Chordata; Actinopteri; Salmoniformes; Salmonidae.